CCCAACUAUCCCUAUUAAUCAUUACGGUGAUCCUAGAAACCAACAAAAUAGAACCAUGCCGUCCUAUUUUAUUAUUCCAUGCUAAUCUAUUCAAGCACAAGCCUGCUUUAAGCACUCUAAUUUUUUCAAGGUAAUAGCUCUGCUUCCCCAACGCACUAACUUAAUAGCAUGCUGGUUAUUCAGAAGGUAGGAAUUCAUCAGGCCAGUGCGGACAGUGAAGCCCGACCAACCGACAAACUCCGAAAUUCAACUACGAGCUUUUUAACUGCAACAACUUUAAUAUACGCUAUUGGAGCUGGAAUUACCGCGGCUGCUGGCACCAGACUUGCCCUCCAA
Molecule: unclassified non-coding RNA, 336 nt
Filed under: uncultured Acaulosporaceae
Lineage: Eukaryota; Fungi; Glomeromycota; Glomeromycetes; Diversisporales; Acaulosporaceae
Also listed under: 1 other name
Description: sequence contains 18S rRNA gene
Source: RNAcentral